CACAGUUCCCAAAUCCUUGCACUAGGUGGGGCCAGCCUCCUGUUGUGUAGACUCAUCAACUAUACCAGUCCUCUGUUCCUGGUCUCUGGAGCUUCAAUUUGGGAAAGUGACCCAUUAGCUUCUGAGGACCAGGGUGAGAGAGGGCAAACUUGAAUGCCCUUCACAAUGGAGAGAUGUGUGCAGACCGGACAGACAUCAGUUCCUUUAUCAGUGCACAGGUAGCUGCAAUGCCUGCAUGUGGAGAGAUAAAACCCAGACAAAGAGGCAGACAUGAGCAGAUUAGCUCCCCCGAACAGGAGACAAGUGGGCUGAGAGGUGAAGGAAAAGGAUGAGGGCAGCCACAAACGCUCAAUGAGACAUGACAAGUCGAGUGUGGAGCCCAGAGGAGCUCAAAAAAUAUUAGCAGCCGUUACCACUGGAGCCUCUGCCUCCUAGACCUGCCUCAAUAUCUAUGGAGGGUGGGAGCAGAGUCACUUUUCCUCACUGGACCACAAUUUACUCCUCAGAAAGACAGCAGUGAUGAUGCCCUCUCAAGAUACCCUCUAACUCCAGAAUCCCUGUCUCUAUUGAUCGUGUAGGAUGAGGCAGUCCAAGUUAAAACAAACACUUUGUUCUUAGUAUCUCAUUUCAUUUUCAUAAAAGCCUUAGAGGACACACGCUUUUCUUAUCCUCAUCUUACAUAAAGGUAAACCAAGGCACAGAGGACUCAAAGGGUGAGGAGAGAUUCAAACCUGGCUGUCUAGACCCAUUGCCCACAUGGCUAACCACCCCAUAACCUGCAAGGAAAAAUGGUCAUUGUCAUUCCUUCUGCAAAAGAAGGAUGGCUGCUUGGUUCACAAAGGUUAAAGUUAUUUAGCAAGGGGAGCUCAAAGGGUUUUGACUGCAUUGCAGCCUGGGAGUCAGAGCAGGAAUGGAAAACAACCAUGAGCCAGCAUUGUGUCCGGACCCUUCCAGGGGUUCCUUGAAAGGGGCUAUUUUCCUUUUAUUCCUAUGCAGGGGUUGGCAAACUUUUUCUGUAAAAGGCCAGAGAAUAAAUAGUUUAGGCUCUGCAGGC
RNAcentral lists this long non-coding RNA (1054 nucleotides) under Pan troglodytes (chimpanzee). RNAcentral describes it as "lincRNA". Lineage: Eukaryota; Metazoa; Chordata; Mammalia; Primates; Hominidae. The record is from RNAcentral.